UACGUAGGGGGCUAGCGUUGUCCGGAAUCAUUGGGCGUAAAGCGUGUGUAGGCGGCGCGUUAAGUCCGCUGUGAAAGCCCAGGGCUCAACCCUGGGAUGCCGGUGGAUACUGUCGGGCUCGAGUCCGGAAGAGGCGAGUGGAAUUCCUGGUGUAGCGGUGAAAUGCGCAGAUAUCAGGAGGAACACCAAUGGCGAAGGCAGCUCGCUGGGACGUGACUGACGCUGAGGCGCGAAAGCGUGGGGAGCAAACAGG
RNAcentral lists this ribosomal RNA (253 nucleotides) under uncultured bacterium. RNAcentral describes it as "partial 16S ribosomal RNA". It matches the Rfam family "Bacterial small subunit ribosomal RNA", at positions 524 to 776 of the family's 1533-position model. The record is from RNAcentral.